Molecule: ribosomal RNA, 445 nt
Filed under: uncultured bacterium
Lineage: Bacteria
Description: bacterial SSU rRNA
Rfam family: Bacterial small subunit ribosomal RNA
Source: RNAcentral
AACGCGAAGAACCUUACCUACCCUUGACAUGCUCGGAAUUUUCCAGAGAUGGAGAAGUGCCUUCGGGAGCCGAGACACAGGUGCUGCAUGGCUGUCGUCAGCUCGUGUCGUGAGAUGUUGGGUUAAGUCCCGUAACGAGCGCAACCCUUGUCCUUAGUUGCCAACAGGUCGUGCUGGGAACUCUAAGGAGACUGCCGGUGAUAAGCCGGAGGAAGGUGGGGAUGACGUCAAGUCCUCAUCGGCCCUUACGGGUAGGGCUACACACGUGUUACAAUGGGCAGUACAGAGGGAAGCGAAGCCGCGAGGUGGAGCGAAUCUUUUAAAAGCUGUUCGUAGUCCGGAUUGGAGUCUGCAACUCGACUCCAUGAAGUUGGAAUCGCUAGUAAUCGCAGAUCAGCAUUGCUGCGGUGAAUACGUUCCCGGGCCUUGUACACACCGAGACGUA